GAUGAACGCUGGCGGCGUGCUUAACACAUGCAAGUCGAACGAAGCACUUUAUUUGAUUUCCUUCGGGACUGAUUAUUUUGUGACUGAGUGGCGGACGGGUGAGUAACGCGUGGGUAACCUGCCUUGUACAGGGGGAUAACAGUUGGAAACGGCUGCUAAUACCGCAUAAGCGCACGGCAUCGCAUGAUGCAGUGUGAAAAACUCCGGUGGUAUAAGAUGGACCCGCGUUGGAUUAGCUAGUUGGUGAGGUAACGGCCCACCAAGGCGACGAUCCAUAGCCGACCUGGGAGGGUGACCGGCCACAUUGGGACUGAGACACGGCCCAAACUCCUACGGGAGGCAGCAGUGGGGAAUAUUGCACAAUGGGAGAAAGCCUGAUGCAGCGACGCCGCGUGAGCGAAGAAGUAUUUCGGUAUGUAAAGCUCUAUCAGCAGGGAAGAUAAUGACGGUACCUGACUAAGAAGCACCGGCUAAAUACGUG
RNAcentral lists this ribosomal RNA (481 nucleotides) under uncultured bacterium. Its description in RNAcentral is "partial 16S ribosomal RNA". It matches the Rfam family "Bacterial small subunit ribosomal RNA", at positions 28 to 507 of the family's 1533-position model. The record is from RNAcentral.